Molecule: ribosomal RNA, 253 nt
Filed under: uncultured bacterium
Lineage: Bacteria
Description: partial 16S ribosomal RNA
Rfam family: Bacterial small subunit ribosomal RNA
Source: RNAcentral
UACGUAGGUGGCAAGCGUUGUUCGGAAUUAUUGGGCGUAAAGGGCGCGUAGGCGGUUUGUUAAGUCGGCUGUGAAAGCCCGGGGCUCAACCCCGGAGGGUCAGCCGAUACUGGCAGACUAGAGUACGGAAGAGGUAGCUGGAAUUCCCGGUGUAGCGGUGAAAUGCGUAGAUAUCUGGAGGAAUACCGGUGGCGAAGGCGGCAUCCUGGACCGACAUUGACGCUGAACGGCGAAAGCUAGGGGAGCAAACGGG